This 271-nucleotide ribosomal RNA is filed under the name uncultured archaeon. Its description in RNAcentral is "partial 16S ribosomal RNA". It matches the Rfam family "Archaeal small subunit ribosomal RNA", at positions 477 to 747 of the family's 1478-position model. The record is from RNAcentral.
CAGCGUCACGAGUGGCAUCCAUUAUUAUUGGGCCUAAAGCGUCCGUAGCUGGUUUAGUAAAUCUCCUGUGAAAUCGUUGGGCUUAACCUAACGGCGUGCAGGGGACACUACCAGACUUGGAACCGGGAGGAGUUAGGAGUAUUCUGGGGGGAGCGGUAAAAUGCUAUAAUCCUCGGAAGACUACCUGUGGCGAAGGCGCCUAACCAGAACGGAUUCGACAGUGAGGGACGAAAGCUAGGGGAGCGAACCGGAUUAGAGACCCGAGUAGUCC